UGGGGAAUAUUGCACAAUGGGGGAAACCCUGAUGCAGCAACGCCGCGUGAGUGAUGACGGCCUUCGGGUUGUAAAGCUCUGUCUUCAGGGACGAUAAUGACGGUACCUGAGGAGGAAGCCACGGCUAACUACGUGCCAGCAGCCGCGGUAAUACGUAGGUGGCAAGCGUUGUCCGGAUUUACUGGGCGUAAAGGGAGCGUAGGCGGACUUUUAAGUGAGAUGUGAAAUACCCGGGCUCAACCUGGGUGCUGCAUUUCAAACUGGAAGUCUAGAGUGCAGGAGAGGAGAGUGGAAUUCCUAGUGUAGCGGUGAAAUGCGUAGAGAUUAGGAAGAACACCAGUGGCGAAGGCGACUCUAUGGACUGUAACUGACGCUGAGGCUCGAAAGCGUGGGGAGCAAACA
RNAcentral lists this ribosomal RNA (402 nucleotides) under uncultured bacterium. Its description in RNAcentral is "bacterial SSU rRNA". It matches the Rfam family "Bacterial small subunit ribosomal RNA", at positions 355 to 774 of the family's 1533-position model. The record is from RNAcentral.